ACUCCACAAAGACCUAGGGAGCACUCCACUCCUGGAGCAGGGUGGUGUGGAUCCGCAGGUGGACGGAUCCGGACCCGCAGGCUGACAGAUCCAGACAGCUCUUAUCCAGAUGUGAAGGUUCACCCCAAUCACAGGAGCCACGUGGAACGGGGAUUUUGAUAUUUAGUGAUGUGUCUGUGAACUUGUCACAGGAGGAGAGGGAAUUCCUAGAUCCUGCUCAGAGCACUUUGUACAGAGAACUGAUGCUGGAGAAUUACAGCUGUCUUCUUUUUGUUGAUUCUAGUCUACUCUCUUUGAAACUCAGAUGCACACCCAUUGUUCCUCAGCCUGUGAAGGCAUCUUGUAAAUGUGGUCCAUUUAUAAAACGGAGUUCUGCUCAGUGGUGAAGGAAAAGGAAACCAAGGAAUUUGCAGGAUCCACUGAUGUUCAAGGACGUGUCCAUAGACUUCUCCCAGGAGGAGUGGGAAUGCCUAGACUCUGCUCAGAGGGCUUUGUACAGGGAGGUGAUGUUGGAGAACUACAGCAAUCUGGUGUCUG
This is a long non-coding RNA of Nannospalax galili (Upper Galilee mountains blind mole rat), 537 nucleotides long. RefSeq lists it as uncharacterized. The record is from RefSeq and is a predicted model, not a curated record. The transcript is spliced from 4 exons. NCBI's taxonomy places the organism in Eukaryota, Metazoa, Chordata, Mammalia, Rodentia, Spalacidae.